GGGCGCAUAGCUCAGCUGGUUAGAGCGUACGGUUCACAUCCGUAAGGUCUCAGGUUCGAUCCCUGAUGCGCCCA
This 74-nucleotide transfer RNA is filed under the name bacterium. RNAcentral's name for it is "tRNA-Val". It matches the Rfam family "tRNA". Rfam says of the family: Transfer RNA (tRNA) molecules are approximately 80 nucleotides in length. Their secondary structure includes four short double-helical elements and three loops (D, anti-codon, and T loops). Further hydrogen bonds mediate the characteristic L-shaped molecular structure. tRNAs have two regions of fundamental functional importance: the anti-codon, which is responsible for specific mRNA codon recognition, and the 3' end, to which the tRNAs corresponding amino acid is attached (by aminoacyl-tRNA synthetases). tRNAs cope with the degeneracy of the genetic code in two manners: having more than one tRNA (with a specific anti-codon) for a particular amino acid; and 'wobble' base-pairing, i.e. permitting non-standard base-pairing at the 3rd anti-codon position. The record is from RNAcentral.